This 228-nucleotide unclassified non-coding RNA is filed under the name plant metagenome. Its description in RNAcentral is "partial contains small subunit ribosomal RNA, internal transcribed spacer 1, and 5.8S ribosomal RNA". The record is from RNAcentral.
GCUCCGUAGGUGAACCUGCGGAGGGAUCAUUACAGAGUUCAUGCCCUACCGGGUAGAUCUCCCACCCUAUGUUAUUAUUACUUUGUUGCUUUGGCGGGCCGUUAGGCUCCGGCCCGACUACCGGCCCCGGCUGGUAAGCGCCGCCAGAGGACCCAAAACCCUGAAUAUUAGUGUCGUCUGAGUACUAUAUAAUAGUCAAAACUUUCAACAACGGAUCUCUUGGUUCUG